This 492-nucleotide ribosomal RNA is filed under the name uncultured bacterium. RNAcentral's name for it is "partial 16S ribosomal RNA". It matches the Rfam family "Bacterial small subunit ribosomal RNA", at positions 29 to 507 of the family's 1533-position model. The record is from RNAcentral.
AGUGAACGCUGGCGGUAGGCCUAACACAUGCAAGUCGAACGGCAGCACAGUAAGAGCUUGCUCUUACGGUUGGCGAGUGGCGGACGGGUGAGGAAUACAUCGGAAUCUACUUUUUCGUGGGGGAUAACGUAGGGAAACUUACGCUAAUACCGCAUACGACCUACGGGUGAAAGCAGGGGAUCUUCGGACCUUGCGCGAUUGAAUGAGCCGAUGUCGGAUUAGCUAGUUGGCGGGGUAAAGGCCCACCAAGGCGACGAUCCGUAGCUGGUCUGAGAGGAUGAUCAGCCACACUGGAACUGAGACACGGUCCAGACUCCUACGGGAGGCAGCAGUGGGGAAUAUUGGACAAUGGGCGAAAGCCUGAUCCAGCCAUACCGCGUGGGUGAAGAAGGCCUUCGGGUUGUAAAGCCCUUUUGUUGGGAAAGAAAAGCAGCAGGUUAAUACCCCGCUGUUCUGACGGUACCCAAAGAAUAAGCACCGGCUAACUUCGUG